This 64-nucleotide transfer RNA is filed under the name Stimulopalpus japonicus. Its description in RNAcentral is "tRNA-Ile". The record is from RNAcentral. Lineage: Eukaryota; Metazoa; Arthropoda; Insecta; Psocodea; Amphientomidae.
AAUAAAGUGCCUGAUUAAAGGGUUAUCUUGAUAGGAUAAAUAAAACAUUUAAAUGUCUUUAUUA